CAGCCGCCACGGUAAUACGUAGGUGGCAAGCGUUGUCCGGAAUUAUUGGGCGUAAAGGGCUCGCAGGCGGUUUCUUAAGUCUGAUGUGAAAGCCCCCGGCUCAACCGGGGAGGGUCAUUGGAAACCGGGAAACUUGAGUGCAGAAGAGGAGAGUGGAAUUCCACGUGUAGCGGUGAAAUGCGUAGAGAUGUGGAGGAGCACCAGUGGCGAAGGCGACUCUCUGGUCUGUAACUGACGCUGAGGAGCGAAAGCGUGGGGAGCGAACAGGAUUAGAUACCCCCGUAGUCCCUGUCUCUUAUAC
This 301-nucleotide ribosomal RNA is filed under the name uncultured bacterium. Its description in RNAcentral is "partial 16S ribosomal RNA". It matches the Rfam family "Bacterial small subunit ribosomal RNA", at positions 509 to 807 of the family's 1533-position model. The record is from RNAcentral.